ACUCCGGCCGCGGCGCGCGACCACUCCGCACCGCGCCGCUCGCUCGCCGAUACUCGCGACACGUCACGACUCGCGACAACCAAACGACCGCGAAGUGACAAAAACUAGUGCUACUCUCAGUGCCCGUUUCUGUGAAGUGACGAAUGUAACAAACACCUGUUCAAAUACGAUCUGUUUGAUCUGCACGAUGGAUCGGAUCGACGCGCCGUGAGGAAUUCGUUUCACGUGACGAAAACAAAUAUAAGACGGGAAAAACAAAAGGAUAUCAGAUCGUCGCUUGCUCAGGUGCAGGUGACGGGACUCGUCUGUGACAAGUCGUCCACUGUCCUGAAGAAUAUCGGUUCCACGGCCAGAUGAGUCCGGGCGAGACGCGCGGGAGGCGCUAGAGAUGCGCUCUAAGCAGCAGCCGCGACCGUCCUACCGCUGGUUCAACACUAACGAAAACGGUAAGCCUACCAGACCA
RNAcentral lists this unclassified non-coding RNA (463 nucleotides) under Melitaea cinxia (Glanville fritillary). RNAcentral describes it as "misc RNA ENSMCXG00005008742.1". The record is from RNAcentral. Lineage: Eukaryota; Metazoa; Arthropoda; Insecta; Lepidoptera; Nymphalidae.